RNAcentral lists this small RNA (173 nucleotides) under Dromaius novaehollandiae (emu). Its description in RNAcentral is "TUC338 (ENSDNVG00000012761.1)". The record is from RNAcentral. Lineage: Eukaryota; Metazoa; Chordata; Aves; Casuariiformes; Dromaiidae.
CUGACAGAACUGCAGCCUGGAGUACUUCGGUCAGCCGAAACGAGCCCAGCACCAACAGCAGCAGUGCGGGCUUCCCCACAUCAGUCCAUCAUGUCACCUCGCUAUUCUGAAGGAAUCGCCACUGGGGGAAAAGAGACAGUUUGGUCUGCAUGCCCAUUGAAUCCUUCACCUCC